CUCUUUUCUCCACUGAGUUUCCUCACUGAGCUAUCCUCAUUCUAUUACUCUUUAUAUCUUUGAUAAAUAUUUAAAUAAAUAGGUCGCCUAUGCCAUCUCUCCUUCGAAUACCCUGGAUCAGCCGGGGCUAGACCCCGGCACAGCGCUCUCUGUAUUUGACUCUGCUUUGCCUGAUUUCAUCGUCCAGAAUGCUAAACUGCUAUCUACCUAAUCUUCAAGGCAUGUCUCUCCCUGAAAAAUACUGCUGUCUUUACUUACCUCUCAAAUGCUCAUUAUCCAACAAUACGUGUACUUCAACGCUAAAAUAUUUGGACAUCAUUCUCCAUUCUGCCACUGUUUCUUGUAGAUCAUCUUAGCUCUUUACACCUUUGAUUUUUUUUUUAAUGUGCGUUUGCUUCCUUAAAGUACCUGUGAUUCCCCCAUCACUCCUUACAGCCUUCCUUAUUAUCAUCUAUUGCCCUCCCCAUCAUUUCUCAAGAUCCACGGAGGACUCUGCAAGUUGAGAUAAUUCAGUAUCAGUGUCAACUAUCAGCUAAGAGGGAAUCAGGAGUUUCCCAACCCAAGACUUGUGCUACAGCGUUUGUUAGACAGAACCAUCAGCUCUGCUGCACAAAAGCUCUUGAGUGAUCAAGCCUGGUCCCUGGUCCCAGAGCUAAAUCUUCAGAGAUCACGAAUCCGACAUCAUUCACAGUUCCAUAAACUGUAUAGCAACCAAGUUCCCUCUCCUAGGCUCCAAGCUGCCCAGCCUCCCACCUGUAGACUCAAAACACCACCAGGUUUGGAGACUCAUGGCAGCCCACUCCAGUCCUCUUGCCUGGAAAAUCCCACGGACGAAGGAGCCUGGCGGGUUACAGUCCCUGGGGUCGCAGAGAGUCGGACAGGACUGAGCGACUUCACUUUCACUUUCCGAGACUCAUGCCAAAACGUCCGCACGGAACCCUUCUCUCAGAACUGCAUCGCGCCUGAUUUCCUGCCGGUGCCAUGUUCCUCUGUGACUUUGAUGGCAUCCCUCCCUUCCUUUCCUCGGGGCACGGAGCGAUCUCCGAGCUCUAUUAGCCCAGCACCAAGUGCAGGUCAGUACUACCUGCAAUCAUCCCCCGGCACCGACCACCUGCCGGCUUGGACGCUCACUGCCUGCCUGCUGCCAGUUUGAGAGCCCUCAGCCACCAGCCAGGACAUCUGUCCCCAGACCACUGCCAGGCCUCCCAGCUACCAGCCACCCGCCCGCAGGCCCGCCUCACACGCUCGCUGGGUGGAAGCCAAGCGGUCCUCUGCUGCCCACCCGCGGGUCCUGCAGCACCAGCCGAAACCAGACCUGAACGCGGAUGUGAGCCCUGAAUCAACACAGGGACAGGAUGGCUCUCAUUAUUUCUGAAAUGAGUGCAUUGUUUUCUGUACUUGAAUGCGCUGUCUUAAUACCUAUAUUUACUCUAUUUUGUAGCUCACUUUUUAUUAUCUAAUUUGUUCGUCAACUGGCCUUUCUCUGGAGGUAAAGCACAUAUUCAGGAAAGUGCACAACACAUAACUAUGUAUCAUCACAUAGCAAGCAUAUCCAAGCAAGCGGUUUCCAGGUGAAGAAAUAAGACACCGUUCACCCCGGAGGUUCCCUCAGGCCCCUUUCCAAUCACUACUCUUUAAUCCUCAUCCAAGGCAACUUCUAUCCUGACUUCUAAACCCACAGUCCCCUUUUGCCUUUUUUUAAAUUUUAUAGAAGGGGAAUAAGACAUUAUAUAUUCUCUUUAGUCUGCCUUUUUUAUUCUAUAUUUAUUAGAUUAAGCCAUGUUUACUUCCGUGGCUGUGAUUCAUUUGUAUUAUUAUUUUAAAAAGUCCAUUGUAUGAACCUACCAUUAUUCAUAUAUUCAUUUUACUCAUGAUGACUAUUUGGGCUUUUUCUUGGUUUGGGCUGUAACUAAUAAUACUGCUUUGACUAUACUUGGGCAUGUCAUUUACAACACAUAUGCUUGUGCUGCUGUUGGGAAAAUACUGAUUGAGUUAUAGGGCACACAUACCUCCAACUUUAGGACACAAAUACCAAACUAUCUUCAAAGCAGUUGAACUAACUUGCAUGCCUCCUGACAGUGUGUGAGGAUCCCUGUCACUGCACAUCAUCAUUAAUGCUUGAUAUUUUUUAACUGUUUUCAAUUGAGGGUACUAUUAUCUCAUGGCUUAGUUUGUAGGAACAAGAAGUAUUCACUUUAAUGUAGUCCAAUUUAUUAUAUUUCCCUUUUUAAUUGCUCAUUUUGCUGUCCUGUUUAAGAAAUCUUUCCUCAUCUCAAGGCUAUAAACAUAGUUUCCUAUAAUAUAUUAAAGAACCGCACUGUGCAUUACUAUAGUCACUAGGUACACGUGGCUACUGAAAUUUAAAUUUAUAUCAACUAAAAUUUUUAAGACAUAAAAAUUCAGUUUUUCAUUCACAUUAGCAACAUGUCAAGGGCUCAACAAGCCCAUGAGUCUAGUGGCUACUGUAAAGGACAGCAUGGUUACAGAAUAUUUCUGACAUCAUGUAAAGUUCCACUGAGUGUAAAGUUCUCUUCUAGCAGCUUUACUGACUAUCGUUUUACUUUUUCAUAUUUAUGCCC
This is a long non-coding RNA of Bos taurus (domestic cattle), 2579 nucleotides long. Lineage: Eukaryota; Metazoa; Chordata; Mammalia; Artiodactyla; Bovidae. The record is from Ensembl.